This 497-nucleotide ribosomal RNA is filed under the name uncultured bacterium. RNAcentral describes it as "partial 16S ribosomal RNA". It matches the Rfam family "Bacterial small subunit ribosomal RNA", at positions 28 to 507 of the family's 1533-position model. The record is from RNAcentral.
GACGAACGCUGGCGGCGUGCCUAAUACAUGCAAGUAGAACGCUGAAGAGAGGAGCUUGCUCUUCUUGGAUGAGUUGCGAACGGGUGAGUAACGCGUAGGUAACCUGCCUUGUAGCGGGGGAUAACUACUGGAAACGAUAGCUAAUACCGCAUAACAAUGGAUGACACAUGUCAUUUAUUUGAAAGGGGCAAUUGCUCCACUACAAGAUGGACCUGCGUUGUAUUAGCUAGUAGGUGAGGUAAUGGCUCACCUAGGCGACGAUACAUAGCCGACCUGAGAGGGUGAUCGGCCACACUGGGACUGAGACACGGCCCAGACUCCUACGGGAGGCAGCAGUAGGGAAUCUUCGGCAAUGGGGGCAACCCUGACCGAGCAACGCCGCGUGAGUGAAGAAGGGUUUCGGAUCGUAAAGCUCUGUUGUAAGUCAAGAACGGGUGUGAGAGUGGAAAGUUCACACUGUGACGGUAGCUUACCAGAAAGGGACGGCUAACUACGUG